AGUGAACGCUGGCGGCAGGCCUAACACAUGCAAGUCGAACGGCAGCACAGUAAGAGCUUGCUCUUACGGGUGGCGAGUGGCGGACGGGUGAGGAAUACAUCGGAAUCUACUUUUUCGUGGGGGAUAACGUAGGGAAACUUACGCUAAUACCGCAUAUGAUCUACGGGUGAAAGCAGUGGAUCUUCGGACCUUGCGCGACUGAAUGAGCUGAUGCCGGAUUAGCUAGUUGGCGGGGUAAAGGCCCACCAAGGCGACGAUCCGUAGCUGGUCUGAGAGGAUGAUCGGCCACACUGGAACUGAGACACGGUCCAGACUCCUACGGGAGGCAGCAGUGGGGAAUAUUGGACAAUGGGCGAAAGCCUGAUCCAGCCAUACCGCGUGAGUGAAGAAGGCCUUCGGGUUGUAAAGCCCUUUUGUUGGGAAAGAAAAGCAGCGGAUUAAUCCCCCGCUGUUCUGACGGUACCCAAAGAAUAAGCACCGGCUAACUUCGUG
RNAcentral lists this ribosomal RNA (492 nucleotides) under uncultured bacterium. RNAcentral's name for it is "partial 16S ribosomal RNA". It matches the Rfam family "Bacterial small subunit ribosomal RNA", at positions 29 to 507 of the family's 1533-position model. The record is from RNAcentral.